This 1444-nucleotide ribosomal RNA is filed under the name uncultured Flavobacterium sp. RNAcentral describes it as "bacterial SSU rRNA". It matches the Rfam family "Bacterial small subunit ribosomal RNA". Lineage: Bacteria; Pseudomonadati; Bacteroidota; Flavobacteriia; Flavobacteriales; Flavobacteriaceae. The record is from RNAcentral.
AUGAACGCUAGCGGCAGGCGACACAUGCAAGUCGAGGGGCUAGUAAGUGCUUGCAUUUAUGAGAUUAGCACGGGUGCGUAACGCGUAUACAAUACGCCUUGUUCAAAGGGAUAGCCCAGAGAAAUUUGGAUUAAUACCUUAUAGUAUUAUAAGAUGGCAGUAUUUAAUAAUUAAAGAUUUAUCGGAACAAGAUGAGUAUGCGUCGGAUUAGCUAGUUGGUAUGGUAACGGCAUACCAAGGCAAUGAUGGGUAGGGGUCCUGAGAGGGAGAUUUUCCACACUGGUACUGAGACACGGACCAGACUCCUACGGGAGGCAGCAGUCUGGAAUAUUGGACAAUGGGCGCAAGCCUGAUGGAGCCAUGCCGCGUGCAGGAAGACGGUCCUAUGGAUUGUAAACUGCUAAUAUACAGGAAGAAACACCUCUACGUGUAGAGACUUGACGGUACUGUAAGAAUAAGGAUCGGCUAACUCCGUGCCAGCCUCCGCGGUAAUACGGAGGAUCCAAGCGUUAUCCGGAAUCAUUGGGUUUAAAGGGUCCGUAGGCGGAUUUAUAAGUCAGUGGUGAAAUGGCCAGCUCAACUGGGAAACUGCCAUUGAUACUGUAGGUCUUGAAUUAUUAGGAAGUAACUAGAAUAUGUAGUGUAGCGGUGAAAUGCUUAGAUAUUACAUGGAAUACCAAUUGCGAAGGCAGGUUCAGACUAAUACAUUGACGCUGAUGGACGAAAGCGUGGGUAGCGAACAGGAUUAGAUACCCUGGUAGUCCACGCCGUAAACGAUGGACACUAGCUGUUCGGAGCAAUCUGAGUGGCUAAGCGAAAGUGAUAAGUAUCCCACCACUGGAGUACGAACGCAAGUUUGAAACUCAAAGGAAUUGACGGGGGCCCGCACAAGCGGUGGAGCAUGUGGCUUAAUUCGAUGAUACGCGAGGAACCUUACCAAGGCUUAAAUGUAGUUUGACCGGAUUGGAAACAGAUCUUUCGCAAGACAAAUUACAAGGUGCUGCAUGGCCGUCGUCAGCUCGUGCCGUGAGGUGUCAGGUUAAGUCCUAAGACGAGCGCAACCCCUGUUGUUAGUUGCCAGCGAGUCAAUCCGGGAACUCUAACGAGACUGCCAGUGCAAACUGUGAGGCGUGGGGAUGACGUCAAAUCAUCACGGCCCUUACGCCUUGGCCCACACACGUGCUACAAUGGACGGUACAGAGAGCACAACUAGGCGACUAGAUGCGAAUCUUCAAAACCGUUCUCAGUUCGGAUCGGAGUCUGCAACUCGACUCCGUGAAGCUGGUAUCGCUAGUAAUCGGAUAUCAGCCAUGAUCCGGUGAAUACGUUCCCGGGUUUUGUACACACCGCCCGUCAAGCGAUGGAAGCUGGGGGUGCCUGAAGUAUCUGACCGCAAGGAGCUGCCUAGGGUGGAACUGGUAACUAGGGCUAAGUCGUAACAACC